RNAcentral lists this ribosomal RNA (506 nucleotides) under uncultured bacterium. RNAcentral describes it as "partial 16S ribosomal RNA". It matches the Rfam family "Bacterial small subunit ribosomal RNA", at positions 30 to 523 of the family's 1533-position model. The record is from RNAcentral.
AUUGAACGCUGGCGGCAGGCCUAACACAUGCAAGUCGAACGGCAGCACAGAAGAGCUUGCUCUUUGGGUGGCGAGUGGCGGACGGGUGAGUAAUGUCUGGGAAGCUGCCCGAUGGAGGGGGAUAACUACUGGAAACGGUAGCUAAUACCGCAUAACGUCGCAAGACCAAAGUGGGGGACCUUCGGGCCUCACACCAUCGGAUGUGCCCAGAUGGGAUUAGCUAGUAGGUGGGGUAAUGGCUCACCUAGGCGACGAUCCCUAGCUGGUCUGCGAGGAUGACCAGCCACACUGGAACUGAGACACGGUCCAGACUCCUACGGGAGGCGGCAGUGGGGAAUAUUGCACAAUGGGCGCAAGCCUGAUGCAGCCAUGCCGCGUGUAUGAAGAAGGCCUUCGGGUUGUAAAGUACUUUCAGCGGGGAAGAAGGCGGUGAGGUUAAUAACCUUGCCGAUUGACGUUACCCGCAGAAGAAGCACCGGCUAACUCCGUGCCAGCAGCCGCCGUAA